RNAcentral lists this ribosomal RNA (1521 nucleotides) under uncultured Staphylococcus sp. Its description in RNAcentral is "16S ribosomal RNA". It matches the Rfam family "Bacterial small subunit ribosomal RNA". Lineage: Bacteria; Bacillati; Bacillota; Bacilli; Caryophanales; Staphylococcaceae. The record is from RNAcentral.
UUCGCCCUUAGAGUUUGAUCAUGGCUCAGGAUGAACGCUGGCGGCGUGCCUAAUACAUGCAAGUCGAGCGAACGGACGAGAAGCUUGCUUCUCUGAUGUUAGCGGCGGACGGGUGAGUAACACGUGGAUAACCUACCUAUAAGACUGGGAUAACUUCGGGAAACCGGAGCUAAUACCGGAUAAUAUUUUGAACCGCAUGGUUCAAAAGUGAAAGACGGUCUUGCUGUCACUUAUAGAUGGAUCCGCGCUGCAUUAGCUAGUUGGUAAGGUAACGGCUUACCAAGGCAACGAUGCAUAGCCGACCUGAGAGGGUGAUCGGCCACACUGGAACUGAGACACGGUCCAGACUCCUACGGGAGGCAGCAGUAGGGAAUCUUCCGCAAUGGGCGAAAGCCUGACGGAGCAACGCCGCGUGAGUGAUGAAGGUCUUCGGAUCGUAAAACUCUGUUAUUAGGGAAGAACAUAUGUGUAAGUAACUGUGCACAUCUUGACGGUACCUAAUCAGAAAGCCACGGCUAACUACGUGCCAGCAGCCGCGGUAAUACGUAGGUGGCAAGCGUUAUCCGGAAUUAUUGGGCGUAAAGCGCGCGUAGGCGGUUUUUUAAGUCUGAUGUGAAAGCCCACGGCUCAACCGUGGAGGGUCAUUGGAAACUGGAAAACUUGAGUGCAGAAGAGGAAAGUGGAAUUCCAUGUGUAGCGGUGAAAUGCGCAGAGAUAUGGAGGAACACCAGUGGCGAAGGCGACUUUCUGGUCUGUAACUGACGCUGAUGUGCGAAAGCGUGGGGAUCAAACAGGAUUAGAUACCCUGGUAGUCCACGCCGUAAACGAUGAGUGCUAAGUGUUAGGGGGUUUCCGCCCCUUAGUGCUGCAGCUAACGCAUUAAGCACUCCGCCUGGGGAGUACGACCGCAAGGUUGAAACUCAAAGGAAUUGACGGGGACCCGCACAAGCGGUGGAGCAUGUGGUUUAAUUCGAAGCAACGCGAAGAACCUUACCAAAUCUUGACAUCCUUUGACAACUCUAGAGAUAGAGCCUUCCCCUUCGGGGGACAAAGUGACAGGUGGUGCAUGGUUGUCGUCAGCUCGUGUCGUGAGAUGUUGGGUUAAGUCCCGCAACGAGCGCAACCCUUAAGCUUAGUUGCCAUCAUUAAGUUGGGCACUCUAAGUUGACUGCCGGUGACAAACCGGAGGAAGGUGGGGAUGACGUCAAAUCAUCAUGCCCCUUAUGAUUUGGGCUACACACGUGCUACAAUGGACAAUACAAAGGGCAGCGAAACCGCGAGGUCAAGCAAAUCCCAUAAAGUUGUUCUCAGUUCGGAUUGUAGUCUGCAACUCAACUACAUGAAGCUGGAAUCGCUAGUAAUCGUAGAUCAGCAUGCUACGGUGAAUACGUUCCCGGGUCUUGUACACACCGCCCGUCACACCACGAGAGUUUGUAACACCCGAAGCCGGUGGAGUAACCUUUUAGGAGCUAGCCGUCGAAGGUGGGACAAAUGAUUGGGGUGAAGUCGUAACAAGGUAAC